Molecule: long non-coding RNA, 1133 nt
Organism: Physcomitrium patens
Lineage: Eukaryota; Viridiplantae; Streptophyta; Bryopsida; Funariales; Funariaceae
Source: RefSeq, a predicted model, not a curated record
UUCGAGCUUCUCUGGAUCGAAGUUCGAGCUGGUGGCUUUGUUUCCCUUGCACUGGAACUGCAUUGCACGUUGCCGCACUGAUGGUGGUGGCUUUGUUUCCCUUGCACUGGAACUGCAUUGCACGUUGCCGCACUGAUGGGAUCUCGAAUUCCAUUAGCUCUUGUAGCUGUGCAGACCCAUUUUUUUCGCGAGGAUUUUCAUGGGCUCCACGUCGAGAAUACUGCGAGCGUGAAUUUCUAAGGCGAGGCUGAUUGGAGGUUGGUUGGAGACUUCUGGCGCACCGUUCGGAAGCAGUUACGGAUGCAUUGUUCGGUUUGCGACUUGACGUGAAGAGCUAGUGAUGGUUGCGGUUUACAUGAAGUGUGGAGUGUUGUAGCAGUAAUGGGUUCUUGUCGAAUGAGCAAAGAUGGCGUAUGCACUGGUAGAUGAUCUGGACCCGCUGUCGAGCCACACUGUAAAGGAUGGGGACAUUUCCGUUGCCGAUCGUCUUGCGCUAGUUAAGGUUGGGGUUCUGUUUAGGUUAGGAUUGAUAGAGAAGGAUGGGUGACGUUUCCUUCUGAAGGAGGGGAUUUGAGGAAAAGGAGGUGUAAAGGUAAAGGGUGGAAGAGAAAGAGAGAUGAGCUUAGACGGGUCGGAGUCACCGGCACCGACAUUAUCACAAUCAUCCAGUUGUGGUGAUUUAGCAGCUUUGCUUGACGUUGAGCUAUUUGUACAUGAGGAAUCAAUGCAGGCAGGAAGACGGGGAUUUGGUGAUCUAUGUGAACAUGAGCUCCUCUCCCUUUGAGCUCCUCUCCACUUAGGUUAGGUUCUGAAUUUGAGCGUGUUUCCGUGGCACUUGGGCGAUUUUCACCCGGUAGCUGUCAAUUUUUCUUGUCAGGCAAUAGUAGAAGUUAUGUAUAGGUUUUUGGGUUGUUUGUAACUUUUUGCUGUUAAGUGGCUAUGUUAACUGGCUAAGCAGACAUUCAACUGGGUUAAGAGUUGGGCUUAUAAGCCUACGACGAUGGUUUGAAGAGUGCCUGAUUUUUCAUCAACUAUUCCUGAAUACUUGCUCCCAUUGGUAGCGUGAAAUUGGUGCGUUGCUCCUACACACUCCUGUAUUGGGAGUUUAUAAAGUAGUUUGUGAAGCUUCUCCA